GAUGAACGCUGGCGGCGUGCCUAAUACAUGCAAGUCGAGCGAACAGACGAGGAGCUUGCUCCUCUGACGUUAGCGGCGGACGGGCGAGUAACACGUGGAUAACCUACCUAUAAGACUGGGAUAACUUCGGGAAACCGGAGCUACUACCGGAUAAUAUAUUGAACCGCAUGGUUCAAUAGUGAAAGACGGCUUUGCUGUCACUUAUAGAUGGUUCCGCGCCGCAUUAGCUAGUUGGUAAGGUAACGGCUUACCAAGGCAACGAUGCGUAGCCGACCUGAGAGGAUGAUCGGCCACACUGGAACUGAGACACGGUCCAGACUCCUACGGGAGGCAGCAGUAGGGAAUAUUCCGCAAUGGGCGAAAGCUUGACGGAGCAACACCGCGUGAGUGAUGAAGGUCUUCGGAUCGUAAAACUCUGUUAUUAGGGAAGAACAAAUGUGUAAGUAACUAUGCACGUCUUGACGGUACCUAAUCAGAAAGCCACGGCUAACUACGUG
Molecule: ribosomal RNA, 497 nt
Filed under: uncultured bacterium
Lineage: Bacteria
Description: partial 16S ribosomal RNA
Rfam family: Bacterial small subunit ribosomal RNA
Source: RNAcentral